AACGAACGCUGGCGGCAGGCCUAACACAUGCAAGUCGAACGGUUGUAGCAAUACAGCAGUGGCGCACGGGUGAGUAACGCGUGGGAACAUACCUUAGAGUUCGGAAUAACCUCGGGGAACUGAGGCUAAUACCGGAUAUUCUCUCCGGAGGAAAGAUUUAUCGCUCUAAGAUUGGCCCGCGUCAGAUUAGCUAGUUGGUGAGGUAAUGGCUCACCAAGGCUCCGAUCUGUAGCUGGUCUGAGAGGACGACCAGCCACACUGGAACUGAGACACGGUCCAGACUCCUACGGGAGGCAGCAGUGGGGAAUAUUGGACAAUGGGCGAAAGCCUGAUCCAGCCAUGCCGCGUGAAUGAUGAAGGCCUUAGGGUUGUAAAGUUCUUUUGCCAGGGAAGAUAAUGACGGUACCUGGAGAAUAAGCACCGGCUAACUUCGUGCCAGCCGCCGCAGUAA
This 451-nucleotide ribosomal RNA is filed under the name uncultured bacterium. RNAcentral's name for it is "partial 16S ribosomal RNA". It matches the Rfam family "Bacterial small subunit ribosomal RNA", at positions 29 to 523 of the family's 1533-position model. The record is from RNAcentral.